RNAcentral lists this long non-coding RNA (217 nucleotides) under Elaeis guineensis (African oil palm). RNAcentral describes it as "long non-coding RNA (EGUI_LNC025361)". The record is from RNAcentral. Lineage: Eukaryota; Viridiplantae; Streptophyta; Magnoliopsida; Arecales; Arecaceae.
CGAUCACGGAAUUCAUUCCACUUGCCUGAGAUCCGAGGUUCAUGAUUUUAGACAGGGUUCCAUGGAUCAGAUCUUAGUGUUCUAAGCUAUAUAAUUUACCACUUGGCGAUCUUAUUAGACCACACUCGAUCGACUUGAUCGGGCAAUCUAAUCGAGACCAAAAUGUCGAACUUUGGGUUCAUAAGGGGUCACGAUUUGGGCUUGAUCCAGACACACC